Molecule: non-coding RNA, 64 nt
Organism: Loxodonta africana (African savanna elephant)
Lineage: Eukaryota; Metazoa; Chordata; Mammalia; Proboscidea; Elephantidae
Source: Rfam
GGUGGCUAAGUGGUUAAGCAUUUGGCUGAUAACCAAAAAGUCGGCAGUUUGAAUCCACCAGCCA